RNAcentral lists this ribosomal RNA (164 nucleotides) under uncultured bacterium. RNAcentral's name for it is "partial 16S rRNA". It matches the Rfam family "Bacterial small subunit ribosomal RNA", at positions 355 to 511 of the family's 1533-position model. The record is from RNAcentral.
UAGGGAAUCUUCCACAAUGGACGCAAGUCUGAUGGAGCAACGCCGCGUGAGUGAAGAAGGUCUUCGGAUCGUAAAGCUCUGUUGUUAGAGAAGAACACGAGUGAGAGUAACUGUUCAUUCGAUGACGGUAUCUAACCAGCAAGUCACGGCUAACUACGUGCCAG